GAUGAACGCUGGCGGCGUGCCUAAUACAUGCAAGUCGAGCGAACAGAUGAGGAGCUUGCUCCUCUGACGUUAGCGGCGGACGGGUGAGUAACACGUGGAUAACCUACCUAUAAGACUGGGAUAACUUCGGGAAACCGGAGCUAAUACCGGAUAAUAUAUUGAACCGCAUGGUUCAAUAGUGAAAGACGGUUUUGCUGUCACUUAUAGAUUGAUCCGCGCCGCAUUAGCUAGUUGGUAAGGUAACGGCUUACCAAGGCAACGAUGCGUAGCCGACCUGAGAGGGUGAGCGGCCACACUGGAGCUGAGACACGGUCCCGACUCCUACGGGAGGCAGCAGUAGGGAAUCUUCCGCAAUGGGCGAAAGCCUGACGGAGCAACGCCGCGUGAGUGAUGAAGGUCUUCGGAUCGUAAAACUAUGUUAUUAGGGAAGAACAAAUGUGUAAGUAACUAUGCACGUCUUGACGGUACCUAAUCAGAAAGCCACGGCUAACUACGUG
RNAcentral lists this ribosomal RNA (497 nucleotides) under uncultured bacterium. RNAcentral's name for it is "partial 16S ribosomal RNA". It matches the Rfam family "Bacterial small subunit ribosomal RNA", at positions 28 to 507 of the family's 1533-position model. The record is from RNAcentral.